Populus trichocarpa (black cottonwood) is the source of this 119-nucleotide non-coding RNA. The record is from Rfam. Lineage: Eukaryota; Viridiplantae; Streptophyta; Magnoliopsida; Malpighiales; Salicaceae.
UAAUCUGAUUGAAUCAAAUCCUUAUCUAAUUGUGUCAGAUUCUCACUCGAAUGCUCAUAAUUUUUUGUUUCUACAAAUAUGAUUGUAUCAAAAACUAUAUUUGUGGUUGUUUUUUUAUU